This 463-nucleotide ribosomal RNA is filed under the name uncultured bacterium. RNAcentral's name for it is "SSU rRNA". It matches the Rfam family "Bacterial small subunit ribosomal RNA", at positions 26 to 518 of the family's 1533-position model. The record is from RNAcentral.
AGGACUAACGCUGGCGGCGUGCCUAACACAUGCAAGUCGAACGAGGUAGCAAUACCUAGUGGCAGACGGGUGAGUAACACGUAGUCAACCUUCCCGAUAGUGGGGGAUAACUAGCCGAAAGGUUAGCUAAUACCGCAUACGAUCUUCGAGUGGCAUCAUUUGAAGAUGAAAGGAGCAAUCCGCUUUCGGACGGGACUGCGUCCCAUUAGCUAGAUGGUGGGGUAAUGGCCUACCAUGGCAACGAUGGGUAGCUGGUUUGAGAGAGCGACCAGCCACACUGGGACUGAGAAACGGCCCAGACUCCUACGGGAGGCAGCAGUGAGGAAUUUUCCGCAAUGGGCGAAAGCCUGACGGAGCGACGCCGCGUGUGGGAAGAAGGCCUUCGGGUCGUAAACCGACUGUCGAAGGGGAAAUACUGAUGGUACCCUUGGAGGAGCCCGGCUAACUACGCGCCAGCAGCCGC